UUGGUGCCAUAUCUACAAGUGGCUGGUGACUGUAAGUAUCUCAGCAACCUGCAUGCAUCUAUGCCAUUCCUAUCAUGGUGCAUGGAGCAAGCUUCACAUAACACUCAGACAGAGACAGUUUAAUUAUGGUUACAUAUCAGACUCAGUUUAUUGCUCAGUCUAUUAGGUGCAGUGCUGUUAAUAUUGUUAGUGGUAGUAUUAGUACAAUUAAUGUAUUUAUUUUCAUUAAUUUAUGAAUAUUUAUUUAUAUUCUUAGUGUUUGAAAAUUCCAAUACUAGUAUUAAGAUAAACAAAAAUAUCAGAAAUAUAUUUAUACUCAUUAAUUAUUAUUGCUUUUCUUAUUAUUACUUCCUUCAAUGUCCUGGCACUUUGACAUCUAGUGCUUUUCCGUCUAGCAGCCAAAAUUGUGGUCUUUCUGAAUGUGUAUGCCUUAAGUCUUCAUUGGUGUAACUAGCUCUUUAACAUAAAAAUCUGCAUCUCUCUCCCUUCUCACCCAGUUAUCCCCGUACAUCCUUUCAGUAUCCAAAGAAUUUUUUCUGUAUUUUACCGUGUGGACAUACUCUUUCCUUCCAUGUUCCACUGUCGUAUGUUAUUCCACAUCUAACACAACCACAUCCCAACAGAUCCGAACACGUCCGAUAUCAUCCAAGAGAAUGUGGCAGCUGAAGGGGGAGAGUUCAAGAAAGAGGCCAAAGGUGAAGACAUUUAGCCACCCCCCCUGAAGUACAUGGCAGCAUUCAACCCUCUUGGUGAGCUGCAGGAAUGUGCUUCCCAUUGCAGUGCACCAGCUCCAUGUACUGAUUUUGGGUGUGAACUUGAUGGGGUUGGAGGAAACUCGACUCUGCCAUCAAGCUCACCACAAUAUAACAUGAAAAGUGAAAAUUGCUGCACACAACAGUCUGCCGUCUGCACCGGGAGGCAAGGCAGCUCAAAGCCCAGGCUGUUACAACUCCUGGGCAGUUUUUGCCCAGAGCCAGCAAUUUUUUAGAUCCAAUAGGGGUGGAUUUUUUCUGAGGUCAGGUUCAACAUGCUGCAAGAUGCCAAGAUCUAAGCCCAGUAGAAGAUAUGGGUUACAAGAGAGGAGGUUUGCUCUGGCCUUAUACUAUCAAAGUCCAAAUGCUAAUAGAUUUCUGAGCACAGUAUUUCACUUGCCUUCAGUUUCAACACUUCACUCAUGACUCAGGGGUAUUUCAGUAAAUGUUGGCUGGAGCAAACAGACUCUGACAACCCUGCAGCAAAGAGCACAGGCUUUGUCAAAAGAAGAGAAACUUCGUGGGAUUUGCCAUUAUUUAGUAUUACUCUUGUUACGCCAAGAAUUUUUUCCAUAUACUUUGCCAAAUAUUGCAAGUAAUGCACCAUUGUUGGGCUUGCCUGUUAUAAAUCAGAUCUUGUUCAAUUAACAAGCUUUGGGUGUCUGCCACUUUCCAGUUGUAAUGCAAGGAAUCAUUUAUCUUCCCUGCUAGAUAUCACAUGUAAUGCACCAUUGUUGGUUUUGCCUGUUAUAAAUCAGAUCUCGUUCAGUUAACAAGCUUUAGGUGUCUGCCACUUUCCAAUUCUAAUGCAAGGAAUCCCCUGCCAGAUAUCGCAUGUAAUGCACCAUUGUUGGUCUUGCCUGUUAUAAAUCAGGUCUUGUUCGGCUCACAAGUUUUGAAUAUCUGCCAUUGUUUAUUUCAGGUGUAAUGCUUGGAAGCAUUUGUUCUCUUCCCUAGCCAUCAGUAUGCAAUGCUUUAUUGUGGAUUUUGCCUGUUAAUCUUGUUCAGGUAACAAGCUUUUGGUGUCUGCCUUACCUAAUAUGUGCUGCAGUGACACUUGGCUUGGUUUCAUAAUGUAAAAUACAGCUUGUAAUUUCAUCACACUAAGUGUCUAUCAUCACGUGUCUGGCAUCAUGAAUGUGGCUUCCAGGAGUAAUCUUGUUUGUAUUACAGCAUGCAAUGUUUUUUCUGCUCUAUAUGAUAUACAUAAUCACAUAGGUGUGAUUUUUUUUUUUUUUUUGACAAAAUGUAAUGGCAGUUAAUAUUCUUGACUAAUGCCUCAUAAACCUUGUGAAAAAUAAUGCUUUUUUGAAGGGGGGAGGGGGGGGGGGGGCAGAGAGUGGUUUGUUUGGUUGGCCAGUUCAAGGAGUUUCAUAUCAAAUGAUUUUAUUACAUCCAACUUUAAUGUGUGCUAAAAACAUAUAUUUUAUUACAUCCAACUUUAAUGUGUGGUUCCUGCAAUAAAUGCUACAUGUUUACUGAUGUAGCCUAUGAAAUACAUAUCACUCUCUGCCCUGUGAUUUGGUAUGUCACAUACUGCAGCAUAACUUUCCUGCUAUUUUCUUACACUAUGAGUUGCCUUAUUUUGUCUCACUUGCUUUUAUCAUAUGUGCCUCCGCUGCAUAGUUGUGCCUACUGAGCUUAAUAUCUUCAUGACCAUGACACCAAGGUCAGAGCUUGUGAGAUCAUAUCAUGUCCUACAUCUCAUUUUCACCUCCAGUCUCGGCUGUCUCCCAGGACCACCAAGUUAUUGCAUUCCAUUUAAGACAACUCAUGUGUUACCUUCUUGAUGUCCUCCAUCAUGUAUUUCAGAAUGUUUUAUGGUGCUUUGCUCUUAUAUUGAUGUGCCUUGCAACAUUUUUAUAUAGUUUUCAUUGUAUAUAACGCACCAUUGUUGGUUUUGCCUGUUAUAAAUCGGGUCAUGUUCAGUUAACAAGCUUUGAGUGUCUCCCAUUGUUUAUUUCAGUUGUAAUGAUUAGAAGCUUUUGUUCUCUGCCCUGUCAAGCAGUAUGCAAUGCUUGCCAUUAUCUGGCACUUGUACAGUUAGUAUGAUAUUUUUGCUCAGCUAAGAGCAUGUUGCAAAAGGUAAAGGUACGGAGUGGGGCAUACGCUGU
Long non-coding RNA from Eriocheir sinensis (Chinese mitten crab), 2866 nucleotides. RefSeq lists it as uncharacterized. The transcript has 3 exons. Lineage: Eukaryota; Metazoa; Arthropoda; Malacostraca; Decapoda; Varunidae. The record is from RefSeq and is a predicted model, not a curated record.